AUGCAAAUGAUGAAAACUUUAUUUUUUGCAUCUGAAAAAUGUGAUGCUUUCAAAGGAACCACUGAUGCAU
Small nucleolar RNA from Anguilla rostrata (American eel), 70 nucleotides. RefSeq annotates it as small nucleolar RNA SNORD42. The transcript has a single exon. Lineage: Eukaryota; Metazoa; Chordata; Actinopteri; Anguilliformes; Anguillidae. The record is from RefSeq and is a predicted model, not a curated record.